Molecule: long non-coding RNA, 9390 nt
Organism: Mercenaria mercenaria
Lineage: Eukaryota; Metazoa; Mollusca; Bivalvia; Venerida; Veneridae
Exons: 12
Source: RefSeq, a predicted model, not a curated record
UUGCAAAAAGAAUUUAAGGCUUAAAAUAAAUCGGAGAAAAUGAAAAUAAAUUCGUGAAAUUGCAGGAUCGGGUCACUCGUAUGCUAUUAUAGUGGUCUACGGCCACACUUUAUCGAUAUUUACAGAGUGCUAUUUCUACUAUAUCACCGUUUGCAUGUUUCCGUUUCCGUUUAAAAAAGUACGGGGAAUAAUAACUCGCAAUUUUUAGCUAUUUGCGAGUGUUUCCAGUGAAUUAAAAUGAGUAGGAAAAAUAAACAUGUUUACUCAAGUAAGUGGGAGACAAUAGACGAAUAUAAACAGUGGCUGAAGCCCUAUAGAGCAGACAGAACGAAGUGUAUUUGUACCUCGUGUGACAAAAUUUUGAGGUGUGAAGGACUUGUCAGCUGACUAGGUUGUUGGGGAACUGCCACUGGUAUGUGGUGAGGAGGUCGGCAUGGUUGUGGAUGAGACCCAGUCACUAGACGAGGCCUUUUCUGCUGACCAGGUGUCAAAUGGGGUUCCCUUGGUGCCAGCCUAUAGGACAUUCUUUGGGGAUGGGAAGAUCUUCAGUUUCAAGAGUUGGCUCUGACUGAGGCAGGACCAGUGGAGGUUGUCACCCAGAUAUAGUUCUUUCCAAGGUUCCAUGUUGACUGCAACAGACUACUAACACAGGUGUUGGAUGCCACAGCUGACACUGCUCUAAAGAGGGAUCUGUAGUUGGGAGAGCUGAUAGUUUGUCAUCAGUUUUGUACAUAUUUUAAUGUUAUGACAUGUUUUAAAAUCUGAAUAAAAUGAAUAAAUACCAUUUUUUAUAUACGUUAUGAUUUAAUUGCGUGCCUAGGCGGCAUAGUGGGAACGAGGGCGGGACGCGCGUUUUUUUUUUUCCAUUGCUGUGGUGGAUUUUUGGAAGGUGUUGAUUUUUGUCGGUUAUUUGUUGGGAGGCAGUUGGUUUUUGUUUGGAGUUGUUGGUUUUUAUAGGUUUUGGAGAUGGUUUGUUUUUGUUCAGAGGUGGGACAUUCGGAUGAUUUCUUUCCAGACAAAGGAAGCUGUGAAUCAGCUGCUGUGAAUUCAGCAAAAAAAUGGGUUAGUUUGUGUUUUUAAGUAUUAUAUAAUUAGACAUGUUUGUAAAUUUUACCAUGUUUUUGUGUUACUGCUUUUUAGGUUGCAUGUUGACUGCAACAGACUACUAACACAGGUUUUGGAUGCCACAGCUGACACUGCUCUAAAGGUAAUAGGCACCUGUUUUACAUACCAUUUAUCCUCUGACAAUUUAAUAAAAACUGGUAUUAUAAUAUAUAAAACAUUGCAGUUUUAAUUUUUUAACAGUGUGAUUUAUGUACAUCUUAAUAUCUAUAAUUCCGGUUGUAGAAGGUGUUUUUAUUGGUUAUUUCAAUAUUCCUCUUUCUUGCUGUUCCCCCAAAAUGUGAAACCUAGGGUAAGUAUUAGCUCACCUGUCACAUCGUCACCUCAACGCAACAGUUGUAUAUCUUAUUAUAAAUUUAUAAUAAGAUACAACUUUGUUGCGUUGAGGUGACGACAUAGUGACAAGGUGAGCUUUUGUGGUCACCGUUUGUCCGAGGUCCUUUGGAUAGGGAACUCUGCAAUUGCAGAGCCAUUCUUAGGUGUCCAUUUCUCUUUCAGCUAGAUAGGGAACUAAAUUGUGUAGAUAGGGAAGAUUUCUCAAGUAUAAUGCAUCUCCUAUGGAAAGGCAUUUGUAGCCUGUAACUCUGCAGCCGGAUAAUGCCUCUCAUAUUGAAAGGCAUUUGAAGCCUCGAGUAUACAGCCGGAUAAUGCCACUCCUAUGGAAAGCAUUCGAAGUAUGUAAGUAUGCAGCUGGAGAAUGCCUCUCCUAUGGAAAACCAUUCGAAGUCUGCUAAAAAAUAAUAUAACUGGUCUUUAGAAUCAAAUGGUUGGUAUCAAGAACAGUAAGUAAUUGCAAGUUGUGAAAGAGGAUCAGGACAUUACAUCGGGCAGGCUCACAUUUUGAGGGACAGUGAAAAUUGUUUAAGCUAAAUCUCUUAAGCUACUGAGUGUUAAAUUCUUUUUCUGAAUGAAAAUUGAGUUAUGUCUUUUGCAACUGGAAUUACAGAGAUAAUGUUUUUAUUGCAAUAUUUUUAUGUUUGUGUCGUACAGAUUUUUUUUCUAUUUUCAGAGGGAUCUGUAGUUGGGAGAGCUGAUAGUUUGUUUUCAGUUUUGUACAUAUUUUAAUGUUAUGACAUGUUUUAAAAUCUGAAUAAAAUGAAUAAAUACCAUUUUUUAUAUACGUUAUGAUUUAAUUGCGUGCGUAGGCGGCAUUGUGGGAACGAGGGCGGGACGCGCGUUUUUUUUUUCCAUUGCUGUGGUGGAUUUUUGGAAGGUGUUGAUUUUUGUAGGUUAUAUGUUCAGAGGCAGUUGGUUUUUGUUUGGACAUGGUUUGUUUUUGUUCAGAGGUUGGACAUUUGGAUGAUUUCUUUUAAAACAAAGGAAGCUGUGAAUUCAGCAAACAAUCAGAUUAGUUUGUGUUUUAAGUAUGAUAUAAUUAGACAUGUUUGUAAAUUUUACCAUGUUUUUGUGUUACUGCUUUUUAGGUUGCAUGUUGACUGCAACAGACUACUAACACAGGUGUUGGAUGCCACAGCUGACACUGCUCUAAAGGUUGCAUGUUGACUGCAACAGACUACUAACACAGGUUUUGGAUGCCACAGCUGACACUGCUCUAAAGGUAAUAGACACCUUUUUUACAUGCCAUUUAUCCUCUGACAAUUUAAUAAAAAGUGGUAUUAUAAUAUAUAAAACAUUGCAGUUUUAACUUUUUAACAGUGUAAUUUAUGUACAUCUUAAUAUCUAUAAUUCCGGUUGUAGAAGGUGUUUUUUAUUGGUUAUUUCAAUAUUCCUCUUUCUUGCUGUUCCCCCAAAAUGUGAAUCCUAGGGUAAGUAUUAGCUCACCUGUCACAUCGUCACCUCAACGCAACAGUUGUAUAUCUUAUUAUAAAUUUAUAAUAAGAUACAACUUUGUUGCGUUGAGGUGACGACAUAGUGACAAGGUGAGCUUUUGUGAUCACCGUUCGUCCGAGGUCCUUUGGAUAGGGAACUCUGCAAUUGCAGAGCCAUUCUUAGGUGUCCAUUUCUCUUUCAGCUAGAUAGGGAAGUAAAUUGUGUAGAUAGGGAAGAUCUCUCAAGUAUAAGGUUAUGUAAGUAUGCAGGCGGAUAAUGCCUCUCCUGUGGAAAGGCAUUUGAAUCCUGCUAAAAAAUAAUAUAACUGGUCUUUAGAAUCAAAUGGGUGGUGUCAAGAGCAGUAAGUAAUUGCAAGUUGUGAAAGAGGAUUAAGACAUUACUUUGGACAGGCUCACAUUUUGGUGGACAGUGAAAAUUGUUUAAGCUAAAUCUCUUAAGCUACUGGGUGUUUAAUUCUUUUUCUGAAUGAAAAUUGAGUUAUGUCUAUUGCAACCGGAAUUACAGAGAUAAUGUUUUUAUGUUUGUGUCAUAUAGCUUUUUAUUUUCUCUUUUUAGAGGAAUCUGCAAUUGGGAGAGCUGAUUGUUUUUGUUCAGAGGUGGGGCAUCCGAUGAUUUCAGACAAAUCAGAUUAGUUUGUGUUUUAAGUAUGAUAUAAUUAGACAUGUUUAUAAAUUUUACCAUGUUUUUGUGUUACUGUUUUUUAGGUUGCAUGUUAACUGCAACAGACUACUAACACAGGUGUUGGAUGCCACAGCUGACACUGCUCUAAUGGUAAUAGACACUUACUUUUUACACAGAAAGCUUCAAGUUUGGAAAGCUGAUGGUUGGUAUGUGUGUGUUUUCGCUUUUAUGUAUUAAAUGUUUUGAUACCUGUUUUUAAAUAUGAAUACAUCAAUAUUCCAUUUUUGUAUUUUUAUGUUUGUUUUAUGUAUACUUGGAUAGUCUUUAAUUUUAUCUUUUUACACAGAAAGCUUGGUGCUUCUGAGGGAUCUACCUUCCAGAUUAUGUUUACAUUAGCAAGCUGAUGGUUUGUGUGUGUCUUCUUUUUUUUGCAGGUAUGUAUAACCUAAUAUUUUAACCUACCUUUUAUAAUAUGAAAAGAAUGUAAAGAUAGUAUUUUUUUGGUGUUUUUUUUUUUUUUUUUAAUUUUUGUUUUAUGUAUGCUGUCGUAUAACUUUUUUGUCUUUUUUUACAUAGAAAGCUUGAAAUGGGCAUGCGGAUGAUCGGCAUUUGUGUACUUGCUGUCUUACUAGUAUGUAUAUUUUGAUGUCGUUUUUUUUUGUUGUUUUUUUUAUAAAUAUACAUAGAUGUAUAAAUACCAUAUAUAUAUUUUAAUUUCUAAGUGUUUUUUGCUUUAUCUGUGAUAUAGUUGCGUGCAUAGGUUGCAUUGUGUGAACGAGGGCAGGACGCGCGUUUUUUUUUUGGUUUGCUGUGGUUUAGGUCUGUAUAAUUCGGGUUUUAGGGUAAGUGUUUUUGUUUUUGGAUAGGGAACUCUGCACUGACAGAAGAAUUCUUAGAUACCUUUCUCUUUCAGCUAGAUAUCAAACUAAAUGGCUUAGAUAGGCUUCAGACGUGCAAGGUGAUGGUUUGUACUUCUGUUUUACAGGUAUGUAUAUUUUUGAUGUUUUAACAUGUUUUAUAAUAUGAACUGAAUGUGUAAAUACCAUUUUGGUGUUUUUUAUUUUAGUUUUAUGUAUGCUGUUACAAAUUUUUAUUUUGUCUUUUUACACAGAAAGCUUCGACUUGAUGUGUGUGUGUGUUCGGGUAUUUUCAACAAUUUCAGUCAUAUAAACGACGACUACAAACACAGGUGUUGGAUGCCACAGCUGACACUGCUGUCAACUAGAGAAAUGAAAGUAAUGGACAUCAAAACUGUGUGUUUGGUCUGCCAAACUGAAGAAGUGAAGUUCAAGCAUAUGUAACUUUGGACUAUUCUGGCUCAGAAGAAUAUGGGGCUCUAGCCAUCAAACCCAGAAGGAGCAGUGACUGUUAAAAUCAAUACAGAUUUGCAUUUUGCAAAGGAUGAAGUUGAGGGUUACGAGGAUGAUGAUGAUAGUUUAAAUGGGAAAUGGUGAUCAAAAGCACACAGUUCACACGAUGAUACUGGAGAGAAUGGAGUGACAAGCAGAUGUAGAAGAAAAAGUCCAGCUGCAAACUUUCCAAGAAGAUACAGUCCAGCAAUCAAUUGUCCUGGAAGAUACAGUGUGGAUGUGGAUGUGGUAGUAACUAAAGAAAUUAAAUAAAUUUGACCAGUUACUUCUGUUGAGAAAACUACAUCCUGACAGACCCCCAGAUGCCAUGACGAAGUACACCAAGAAAUAACUUGAGCUCUGUCAGUGUAAGUUUUCUAUCUCUGUAAUGCAUGGUGAUGAUGAUGAUGAUUGCGAUGAUGUUGAUGACGGACAAUUAAUAAUGAUGACAGGGCUGUUGGGUGUAUUCAAGCAUAACAAAGGGAAAUGGACACCUUGUGGGAAGGAACGUGGAAGUCGGAUCAUACUGGAAGAUAUAUAAGUGUUUGCCAUAGGAGCCAAUAAAGUCCCUCCCUUAGGAUUUGAUCCAGAACCUAUGUUAAGUUUCUUACAUGACCAGGAAGUCUUUCCGAAAACCAACACGUGUACCAUGGAUAUUAAAGGACUAUGCAACUUUUAAAUCAAACAUGGCGUUUGGUAUUCCUAAUUCACCUGACUUUGGACUGGAGUCUUUCACAAUUUCAGCAGAGAUGUUAUUGAGGAGUUUAUAGGGAAAUUCUCAUUAUCUGGGAAACAUUUUAACAAAUUAUGAACUGAAACAGAAAUUGAAAAUUAAUGUCAAAGCAAAUUUUGGUACAUAGGAGCACUCUAGAAAGUUGAUGUUUGUUGCAUAUAAUUUAUCAUGGACAGCAAACUUGAUAUAUUCUCCAGAUUAUAAAAGUGACAUUAUCUGUGUAAUAAAAUAAGCAAAUAUUUUUGAAGUUUGUCAGCUGAUAAAACUGUGUAAGCAUAGGAAGACACAUCAAAAGAACUUGGUGUCUUUGUGUAGGGCCACUUGCUAAAAUAAUUUCUUUUUACCAAAAGGCAGAUAUGGAAUGUUCCAUUUAAACUAUUCAACUGACAUUUAAAAGCAAUUUCUCCAGUAUAUGCUUCUUAGGAGCAAAAUCAAAUAGACUGAUUAUUCAACAUACUGUUAAUGUUGUGAUUUAAGGUUUGAACUGUCUAUCUUGAUGUACAGACACUAGGUAGUUCUUUAACCUUUAGCUUGCUAAAUUUCUGUAAUUGACUGGUUCAUCAUUCAAUUUGAGCAGUACCAUUUAUCAUUUGAAGGGGUGUUCACUGAAAAUUUACUGACUGCAAGGAUGUGCAGGCUGAUCUUGGUCUGCACUGGUCGCAAAGGCAGAAUCACUUGCUGCCAGCAAGCUAAAGGUUAAGAUGCCUCAGUUGAUAUUCAUAUAUCUCGAGGUGAACAUUUUUCAUAUCAACCUCUUAGAAAUGUAACAUUUAUUUUAUUGUACCGAAAACAUACAGAAGUCAAAACAUUGAUUGGAAAAUCAACAUAUGAGUUAAAACAUUUAUUGAAAUUAUCAUUAAAAGGUAGACUGUUAACACUUAUUUUUAGCUUAAAUUUUCGAAGCAAAAAGAGAGCUAUUGCAGUCUUGCCUCAGCGUUGGUGUCGCAGUUGGUUAAAGUUUAUGAUAAAGUCAAAUAUGUCUGCUACUUUCAAAGCUAUUGACUUGAAACUUAAGUAGUUAUUUACUAUCAAAGUCUACACCAGGAGAAUCAAUCCUCAUAACUCUGAUUUGAAUUUUGACAGAGUUAUGCCCCUUUUUAACUUAGAAUUGUUUGGUUAAAGUUUUUGAUAAAGUUAAAUAUCUCUGUUACUAUCAAAGCUUUUGACUUGAAACUUAAAACACUUAUUUACUAUUAAAGGAGAAACAAUCCUUUAAUUUUGUUCAAUUUUGACAAAGUUAUGCCCCUUUUUAACUUAGAAUUAUUUGAUAAAGUCAAAUGUCUCUGUUACUAUCAAAGCUUGUGACUUUAAACUUAAAAUAGUUAUAUGCUAUCAAAGUCUACAUCAGGAGAAACAAUCCUCAUAACUCUGAUUUGAAUUUUGACAGAGUUAUGCCCCUUUUUAACAUAGAAUGUUUCGGUUAAAUUUCUAUAAAGUUUUUACUGGCAUAGCACUAAUUCAGAGUCAAGCACUGAGAAAGGUCAAACGUGCUUUCUUACUGAUAGCACUUGUAUUAAAGACAGUAGGAGUCUUAAAUACUGGACAGCACUCCAAAAAUUUGCUGAAUUUACUACAAGGUUUUAAUGCUUCCUGAAGGGGUGGGGGCGUAGUCGUCACCUUGUCCGUCUGUCCAAAUUUGUGUCAUUCAUAUCUCUAAAAGUAUUUGACCCAGUCAUCAAACCUCACAUGAUUGUUAUUCAGUGUGAGAUGGGACCAGGGGUUUUAAUUUGGAUCUCACACAGUCAGACUAGAGUUAUGGCCCUUGACUUAAUGUUGCAUAUAUCUACAAAAUUCGCAUAAAGUCAUGAAAUCAUGUAAGAGUACAUGUAUUAUCCAUCAUGUAAUUUUGUGCACCUGAGUUUUUUUUGUGUUUUUUUUUCACUUUGCAAGACCAGAGUUAUGGCCCUUGACUUAGUCAAAAAAUAAAAGUUUUAUUCAGCAUGUAUGUCAAAAUUUAUUUGAUCUAGAGUCAUUAAACAUUAGAGUAUUGUUUUAUAGCCUAUGAAAUUUUGCUCCGGGUGUUCUCUUUGGGAUUUUACUCAGCUAGGCCAGAGUUAUGGUCCUUCACCAAGUGAAAAAUACACAUAAAGUUCCUAAAGGUUUUUGUUGCAAACAGCUUAAAAAAAAUGUAACCUUUAGUCAUAAAACCAUGUACAGUGACAGGAGUGGGGGGGGGGGGGGCACCUGUGUCAUAUAGACACCCUAUUAUAAGACACAAAUCUAGUUUUAUUUUGAUGUGCCAGAGCUUACACUACAUUUAUAACUUUCAACAUUUUCAAGAAAUAGUCGAGAGUCAUAAAAAAAACAUGUAGAUACAAUCUGUAUUUUGGGAACAACUUUGGAUCCUGCACAUACAUUUAGAUACAUUGCAAAGAUAGUCAUACAUAUUUAGAGUUGUGUUUUCUCAACCCUUGUUACUUUAAACAACAAUUUAUACAGUUAAUGAUGCCCCAUUUGAUGCUUAAACAUUUAGUACUUUAGCAGUCACAUAGUAUGACCACAUAUCCAAAGUGCAUUAUAAAUUAGCAUGUGUUUCUUUUAGUCAUCUUUGUUUUGCUAGAAAGCUUUCUUGUUUCAGUUUGUACUUCCUGCUUGGAUUUACUGUUGUAUUUCCUAUUCCAGAUGGUACUUCCUGUUUCAAGUUGUUUUUACACUACUCAUUUCUCUGUAAAACUCUUUAACUUUAAUGAAUAGCUGAAAUUAUUACUUUUAUGGCCGUUUAGUUUUCACUUUAACCCUUACCAUGCUGGACACGAUUGGUUCUGCCUUUUGUGACCUGUGUAGAUCAUUAUCAGCCUGGACAUCCGUGCAGUCUGGUCAUGAUCUGCAGUGUUCACUAUUCAUUCAGUAUCUUGGGUAAGCACCCCUUUUAACAGUUAAUUGUACUGUCAAAAUUGGAAGAUGGACAUGUUCAUUAUAGAAAUUUAGCAGGGUAAGGGUUAAAGCAGAUAGUGUAUUAACAGUAAAUUUAAAUUUUACUCUGAAAUCAAGACAGUUUGAAAGUACAGUUUUAAAAAAACUUCUGAUAUAACGAAGACCGCUCCAAACAGAAAAAUUUAACUUAGUGAGGCAUUUUAGUAAUCAUCAGCAGGGCACAAAACAUUUAACUCUACCCAAUCAUACUUUUUGAUGCUUGCAACAUCCAAUUUUUCACUGUUGUAAUUCUUUUGACUGCAAUUAAAGUUAAAUAAAGUAAAUGAUCUGAUAAUAUUUCAGUAAAUACAUUGCAAACAAUGAUUUUUGUCUUCACACUGUUAUUUGGCAGUAAAUGUUACUUUAAUUGAAAAGAUUAAAAUAUAUGUCUGGUUUUAAAAUUAUUUCUAUAUAAGAAAACAUUCAAAACCAUUUCAGUUAAUAAGAAUCUCUUGACCUUCAGCCUGCAGGUAGCAAGUGAUUCUGCCUUUGCGAUUAGUGCAGACCAAGAUCAGCCUGCACAGAUGUGUUAGUUAGUAAAUUUUCAGUGAGCACCCCUUUGAAUAAUAAAUGGUACUGCCCAAAUUUAAUGAUGGACCGGUCCAUUUUAGAGAUUUAGCAGGCUAAAGGUUAAAGCUGCUGUCUCUAGAUUUCUGUCAGAUUUAUUGAAAUUUAGAAAAUCUUAUUAAUAGUUAGUAAAUUGCAAUAAAAAAAAAUUAUAAAAAAAUUAGAAACUUUUUGUCCUUUUCGUAUGUAUAAUUUAUAUAUAUAUAAAACACACAUUUAGUCAACAUUAUACUAAAAACUCCAGUCAUGCUAUUGAAUACAUGCAAAAUAAAAGGAAUUUAGCUAUAUUUUAUA